Long non-coding RNA from Hemicordylus capensis (graceful crag lizard), 3970 nucleotides. RefSeq lists it as uncharacterized. The record is from RefSeq and is a predicted model, not a curated record. Lineage: Eukaryota; Metazoa; Chordata; Lepidosauria; Squamata; Cordylidae. The transcript is spliced from 4 exons.
GCUACCAGGAUAAACAAAGUUGUAUAAAACUAGUACAAGCUUAUAUUAUGGAUAUGUCCUUUUCAAUGGUUCAGUGCAGUUGCCAGCUGAAUCAUAGGAUUGUGCUUCACAGUUGUCCCUGAAAGCCCCUUAUUUUCCUUUCCUCCUCUCCUGCAAGGUAUCUCAGCACAGCCUCAGAAAUGCUGCCUGGCAUUCUAAGUUACUCAGCUGUACUACUCAGGAGUUCCUCUUUAGGACUAGUAAUCCAAAUGGAGCUACUCACGAGUAAUUUAGCUAGGGGCGUUGCAAGGCUGCUGGAGGCCCCAGGAGAAGCCAAAGUCCAAUUAUGUUUUCAGCCACCUUUACAACUUCUGGAAGAUUCUCUAAAAAAAAUCAAGUUCUUAUAAAGGUACAAAAAACUACUUAUUAGAACUUAGUUUUUUGAGAGAGUCUUCCAGAAGUAGUAGGACUUUGGAGCAUGAGGAUUAGUAUUACUUUCUGAAGACCAUUCUUUACUUCAAAAAGAUCUACAUCGAAAUGGAGGUCAUCGGCUCACUGCCGUGCAGGAUGUGUGGCCUUAGUACUGGAUUGCAUCCUUCUCCACACCAUGGACUUCACCUAUCCUCCAUUGCUACAUACUUCAUUUCUGGGGAUCUUAUUGUUUGUCGUUGAUAUAGGGGAAAGAACAUGACCCAGUCUUGGUGGUGGGAUAGGUGGGACAUGCAACAGGGGAAGGGGUAAUGGAGCAGGGAGGUGAGGGGGCACCUUGGGGUCAAUGUUCCCUCUAAUUUUUUUUCAUCUGUGUGGGGAAAAAGUUUUGUUCUGGGCGGCAGUAUCAAGACAGUGUGUGCACACAUGCAGUCAGAAUGGGAUCUUCCUGAUUCAACCUGAGCAGGAUCUAAAAUUAACUGAGUGGACAUCAAAAAACUUGUGUGCACAAGCGCACACCUUAGAGGAAACACUGCUUUGGGUGCCUUGGCAUCCCCACCCCCAUUCAAUUUUCCCAUGUGUAGGUCUGUCAGCCACUGCAUUCUGAAGUGUUUUUCAUUUGCAACAUCAUCAAGAAUGCCCAAGAACUUCUGAUGUAGCAUUAGAGAAGGAUUGGGUGAUACAAGAACAUAAGACCACCCUACUGCAUCAGACCAGACAUCCAUCUAGUCCAGCACCUCUUUAGUUUUGCACUGUGGUGAACCACAAGGAAAGCUCACAAGUGGGACAUGAAGGCCGUGGUCCCCCCAUUUUUCCUUCCCUUACUAAGUGGUGUUCAGUGAUACAUUGCCUUUGAAUGUAUAUGCUUAUUUCAAUCAACAUGUGCCUCAAAAUGCAUAAAAAUGAAAUAGGUUUCUAAGAGUUCAUGCAGCCCUAAGAUUUCCUUUCAUGAGCCAAAUCCUAAGGAACAAUUGGCUCCCUGCAGAAAAAGUUGAACUUAUUAUAAGUGCAGUUUGCUAAUAAAUAGGGAGAGGAGAUGCUGAAUGUUUCUUGCUGACGUUACCUGUUUCAAUGACUGAGGUUUCUGGGGAUGCUGCAAGCAACCCCAGUGAAUAAAACGCAGGCGUAUACCUCACAUGGUCUUUAAACUGCUGCAGUGUGAGAUUUGGUUUCAGAAGCUGCCACCUGUGGUCUUCUGGGAAGUGAUCAUUAAUAAAAAGAGCAGGAUGGGUAAGGAAGUAAAACUCAUUGUAUCUGGAACAAGGAGAAAGUGAGAGCCAUCAGAGCACAAUCAUGCAGUAUUUCACAACUCCUAAAUGAGCAGCAAAGAGAAACAGGCAAAGCUAUAUGCAGACAGUCUGCUUCUCUUUUUAAAGUGAUUUGUUUCCAAUUGUUUCCUUGUCAGUAUAUUAUCUGGAUUCUUUUUUAAAAAGCGGGGGGAGGGGGAAUCUGCAGAUGGGCACAGAAUAAUGAAGUCCUUGCAAGAAGUAGCCCCAGAAAAUAAAUUGAAAGUAAAUUUUGCCCCCACUGCAAUUCAUCCCAAUUCAGGGAUUAUCCAUUUUACAGUUUAAUAACGUACUUGAAAGUGAACUUAGUACAAGAGUCAUCCACACUGCCACUUCCCCAGGUGCUGUCCAACAGGUGCCACCUUCCGUCAAGAUAAACUGCAUUCCAGGCAUGGUCAGCCUUCUUAAAGCCUUUUCCUGCUUUGUAGGAAUACCCUUUGGAGUAGCCUGGGAAAUUCUUGCAUUCUAUCCCUGCAAUACUGAGGGCAAGAAGAAAUGAAAAGUAUUUAGAAACACCACUAUGGUGUUCAUUAUGUCUACAGGGCACUUUCCGGAUUAGAUCCUGCAACAGGGUCAGGAUGUAUCUCUGAAGUGUAUCUUCCACACUUCCUGUGUUGUGACACUGCAGUCCCUAUGCUGACAGCAGGGUGCCGUUUAUAUUUCCAAUGCUUUGUUUCAAAUUUAAUCACUGUGAUAUAGUGCUAUGAAGUCGUAUAUCUGGGGUAAAGAAGUUGCUGUUUUUUCGAGUAGUUAGUUUUUGAGAGACUGCUCCCCCUGCUGUUUACAUUUUAAUGUGAUUUGUCAGAACGAGAGCAGCUUACCUGGAAAGCACCCAGGCAUGGCUGUAUAUAUGUUGAGAUUACUCCAUGUCAGUGCAGCAAUUGUUACUGAGAGCAGAAUUAGGCAGCUGCAUACAUAAAAAGUAUGUUUCUAGAUCUUAAAGUGAGAGCAGUUUGAAAAAUAUUUAGCCAAUGCCCAGGGAAAGAAGCAGGGGAUGGGGGCAGGCUGAGCAGAAUUGCUUGAGGCUGUGGGAGGGCUUAGGUAUAUUAUUAUUAUAUUGUUCCCAUGACUGCAUGGAACAGAUUAAAGAAUGCAAAAUAAGAAAGUAUAUACACUUUUGCAUCAUUUGCAUACAAGUAAUAAUUGCUAUUGCUAAUAAGACUUGACUGUUUCAUUUUCAGCAGAAUUCAAACUUUAAAAGAACAACUAACAAAAACAUUGAAGACUCUUUCGCAUUUUUUCUGGCAUGGGAUUGGAAUCAUGCAUUAGUCUGGAUGCCAGCCACGAUCCUUUGGCUCAUACUUUCCCCAUUCUGCCUGGAAUGGAAUGCUCUGCUUAUCAGAAGAGCAUGCUGAGAAGGUAGAAUCAAAUUCCAGAUGUACAGGAAAUGCCUUGAUCUGCUAGCAGAUAACAUACAGCACCGUAUACCCCCAAAGAAGGAGGUGCCUGUUUGCCAUGAUCUGGAAAGUCUACAGAGUGAUCAAAUGUGACCACCAGAAAGGAGAAAACAUGUUUGCAGAAUCAAAGAGUGAAAGCAUAUGAAAACAGGUUGAGAUAUGGUAGCAGAGACAGAAAGGCAGCAGAGGGCAGCAGAAGAUCACCAGCAGGAGCUGCUGAGUGCAAGACCAGCCAACACGAAAGGCCAUCCCUCCUCUGAAUUGUCACCUAGAAAGGAGAACAGUCAUAAAUUGGUUGUUAAAAUCCUGGCAUUGCACAUAUGUAACAGGUUCUUAUUUUUAGAUAGUGCUGUAAUAUAACCAGAUUGUACAUACAAAACACAGGUACAUAAAUUGAUCAUUGCCUGCAGUGCCAGAUUUGGGCACAAGCUAAGUAAGCUACACCUUAGGGAUUCACAUUAUGAGGGAGGUUGGAUUUUAAAAAAUGACUACAUUUCAAAUUUUACAUAACAGAAAAAUAAAGGGGAAAGGGGAAAAAUGAUUCUAAAGCAGACUAAUAAGGCUAAAAUAUACUUAUAUUGCUGCACAAUUAUUUACCAAACCAAGUAUAUAAACCUUCACAGAAAUACCUGUAAAGUUGAAUUGAAAUUUCAUUUGACCAGGGCCCAGUUUUUCAAAGGUCUAAUUCUGGUUCAGAAAUUUGAUCCAGGAUCACUUUGAUUCUGGAAUCCCACAAUCCUGAAAUCAGUUUUGAUCUGAUUUUGAUGUUUUGGCACACUUUUCUUACAAGAUCUCAUGAUACUAUUGGGCUUUUUAAGAUUAACACAGCUUCGGGCCUCAGCAUUUAAUAAUCUAGCCCUUAUUGCCUGCCUGGCAAAA